Molecule: long non-coding RNA, 544 nt
Filed under: Heterocephalus glaber (naked mole-rat)
Lineage: Eukaryota; Metazoa; Chordata; Mammalia; Rodentia; Bathyergidae
Description: lncRNA (ENSHGLG00100038167.1)
Source: RNAcentral
GCAGGGGCGACACAGCUGGAGAAACUGAGGCCCCAGGGUCGCUGGGACGGGAGACGCCGGGUGCACGCAUACUCGGAGACGGAACGGCUACAAAACUAGGCCAGGAAGAGGGGAGUCGAAAAACAUCAGACCCCAGGGCACCGUUUCCGGGAGCAGGCAGGGAGGCGUCCAAGGCCACAUCCCCUCCGUCCUCACCUCCCGAAGACCUGAGAGACUCUGUGGUGAGUCUACAGCUCGUCCUAGCCCUCAAGAAGGCGGAUUUCCCUCCUGCCUCCAUAUUCCUCCCGUGUCCAGUGCAUAGUCCAAGGUGCCUCUCAAUCAGUGCGCUUGACUCAGCAUUCCCAAGUGCUGGGUAGGGACAGCGGGACUCACCCCACUUCACUCAAUGGAUGCCAAGGCCUCGGCCGCCUCACCUCUGCAAAGAAGGCCUUGAGCUGGUCCAGGUGCUGGAAGAGGCUGGGGGAGUUAGUGUCCAGACGGGCCAGGCGCUGGGCGGCUUCCUCUGCCAACAGCCGGGGUGGGUGUGGCUCCUGCAGACACGUGG